RNAcentral lists this microRNA precursor (85 nucleotides) under Homo sapiens (human). Its description in RNAcentral is "microRNA hsa-mir-12125 precursor". The record is from miRBase by way of RNAcentral. Lineage: Eukaryota; Metazoa; Chordata; Mammalia; Primates; Hominidae.
CAGUUAAUUCAGAGUUGCUUAUGUCAGGUGAGAGGGGUAGACACCAAUUCUCUCUCACCUGGCAUAAGCAAUUCACAAUUAACUG